This 77-nucleotide transfer RNA is filed under the name Gemmatimonadota bacterium. Its description in RNAcentral is "Gemmatimonadetes bacterium tRNA-OTHER". Lineage: Bacteria; Pseudomonadati; Gemmatimonadota. RNAcentral also lists the same sequence under 1 other name. The record is from RNAcentral.
GCGCCAGUGAGCGCCCAUGAGCGUCCGUCGGCGGCCUCCGGAGCCAAAGGUCACAGGUUCGAAUCCUGUCUGGCGCA